CAAUGAGCCUGAACCUCAGCUAACAAGCCUGGGUCAAAGCCUGUGAUCUGGAGAGAAAAUGUCCAAAGAGGAAAGGAACUGGCGACCAGCGUAGUUACAGAAACACUUCUCUCCAGGAUAAAGCCAAUUUCUUUGUUUGCUGAACCAUAGCCUAAAAAAGCAAUGCUCAGUAUUUAUGAGCUCUGAUUCUCAGUCAGACUACUGAGAGCAACUUCCAUGAUUAGAAGAGAGAAAGAGAUUGACUUUUGGCAUCCGAAAACACAUGUCCCUCACUAACUCAAUUGUGACUGCCUGCAGGAGAACAGAGCUCUCUCUUUACGGCAACUGAGAGGUUAUACGAAAAAUUGUGUAGUGAUGGGCAGCAAUAGUGGUAGAGGGGCGGGAAGAGGGCCAUGAGGAUGAGAGGGAUAAGGAAAAGCGAAAGAAACGAAUGGUUUCUAAGUUUCUUGUGUUUCUUCCUUUAUCUGUUUCCUUUCUACCUACUACUUCAUGAUUGCUGUAGGUAUGUACAUGGAGUACCUUAAUUUGUGAGCAUCUGUUCAUUCAGUUUGAAUUUUGUAUUCUCUAGGGGAAAUUUUGUAAUGCAAUGAGCAUAAAAUGAGUUGCAAAGCCAUUAGUUGCAGCAGAGGUGGGGAGGGGGUCUCUUACCUGAGGUGCUGCUUUGAAAAUGGCCUCUGGUACUCCUGGCUUUCCUAAUUAAAUGCUAUCAACCCUACAGAUGGUAAAAUGAUGUAUAUAAUUUGCUGAAUUCCCUAAACAAAGAGGCUUUCAAUGGAGGAGUGCAAUAAGAAUAUUCUUUGAAAAAAGUGAGAGCCCCAUUGGAAUCUGUAAACUUAACCCAAAGUAAAUAAAACCCGAAAAAUAUUUCUAAAGGCUAUACGAAUCUUUGAUUUAUGCUAAAAGAUUGAGAAUCAUGAAAAAGAAACAUGUUUUUAAGGAGAUUUAAAAAGUUUCAGCUCCCAUCAAGAGCCAGACAUGUACAUAAUUCCUAAUGAUUUUCAAGGAAGGUUUUAAAACCCAAACUACAGUUAUGAUAUAUUUUAGCAUUCCAAACAGGUAUUUAAAAAUUAUUUUAAAAAUAAUUAUGUUAAGACAGCAUGCAUAACCUAGGGCUGUCCUAAGCAAACUAGACAAUUGAAGCAUGGCCAUCCUACAUAAAUCCUCAUUCUAGAGAAGUGCACAUUUAGUUCUAGAACCAUUGCUGCAAAUCUUUCUACAGAUUGGAGGAGAGCUCACCAUGUUGUAAUUCACUCUGUAAUUGGGUUCCUCACAUUUUCCAAACAGUAAGCUGAAUCCUCAGGGAAGUUAACUUUCUUAUGGUCUCAUACCAACGCAUGCACCAUUUUUCUCUUGUCCCUUAGAAGUAUCCUUUCUAUAGUUCCUAGAUACUCAAUAUCUUAUCACCGUCCUGAAACUAAUUACAACCACAGCAGUAACACCCCUAGGGACACAGUUUCAAGAUUGUGAUUUUUUUCCCCUGGCACUCUGCACUUAUAAAUUAUACUAAUUUUUAUAAGCCUCAAGGCGUGAUUGUCUGGAGUGCUGUCAUAUUCAGAGUGCUAUUCAACUAUGAGGUUGUAAUAUUUCUUUCUUGAUAAUAGGAGAUCAACAAAAUAUAUCUUUCAAUAUAUCCAUGGAGAUCAAGUCUUUGAACAGUCCUAAGUCAAGGGAUUGUAGUGUCAACUUGCCAUUGUUUCUGGAUGGGUGGCUUCUUUUUCUUAUUUUGUUAGGGUAAAGAGAAAAAGACAGGUCUAACCCUUAAGUCUCUUUGCACUGCUGAACUUUCUCCCUUUAGAAGCAAAUACCAGGAAUGAAUUCUGGAGUACAGAGAAGUAAACUAGCAGUAAAAGCACAAGGGCUGAUGCUUUAGCGGAGUUUUGAGGGACAGAUUUAUACCAACAAGGCCUUUAGGACACUGUAUAUCUAGAGGUUCCAAAGUAUUCAGGAAAUAAUUGAAAAUAAGGAAAUUUUGUAGUAUCGUGGACUGUUUGUGGGGAAUGGUGCUGAAGGACUUUAAGUAGGAAAGAGUGUGUAGAAUGCACCUUUAAGAAGAAACUCAGGUGACUCUGAGAAAGCUAGGUAGGGAUGCAAUACAGUGCAACAUAAUGGCUGAGGACCAGCUAGAAGACUCUUGCCAAAGCUUCAAUAAGAGAAGAAAGAUCUGAACUAUGGAUCUUUAGAAAACUGAUAAAAAUAGAUGGUCAGCAAGAGAUUUAGAUAUUAAACUUACAGGACUAGGUUUUCGCAAUACAAUAGAUAAUGAAACUGUACCAAACAACUUAAGGAAGGACUGUAUUAUGAAAAAUAAAAGAGGAGAGGAUGGCUAACAGAUUUCUAGCUAUGGAAACAGGGUAAUUGGUAGCUUUCUAAACUGAAGGAUUACUGGAGAAAGAGGGAGUAUUAGUUGGGCAUUGGUAGAGGUAAUGAGUUACACCUAAAUGUGUUAUUUUUAUGUGUUCAUAAAACAUCAGUUACAGGUGUCUGGAAACAGUAAAUGUCAUCCAGUCCAAUUCUCUUUGUUUUACGUGAGGAUACUAAGAUUUGGAGGAAUGAAGUAAGUGUAGGAAGAUCACCCAUAGUCUUACUGAAGAGUUAAGGCACCAAGGCCCUGACAUUCAGUCCAGAGUUUACAGUGAGUCUCUUUCUCUGAGCCCAAACUGACCAUGUCUUCACAUUGUUUAUUUGGUUGGUCAAAGAAAAAUUGGUUGAGUUAAUAACAUUUUAAUUCCUGUAAAGACUUGGCCUGAGUGUUGCCCUUUUCUUAAGUUAUUGCCUUGCAUGCUAGUUGUGUUUCAGCAAUAGUUGUCUGCAUUAAGAAAUUGCAUAAAUCCUGCUUUGGGAGCAAAAUUCUAUAUGGAAGAUGACGCAUCUCUGUGAUGUCACAGGUUCCUGAGAGGGUUUUCUAAAGGCUUUUGCUGAAGGCAGUAAUAUUCGGCCUGGGUGUCCCUGUUUCCUCUUUUUGUUUUAUUUUGUGCAGCUGCGUUGGAAACAAGCAGAGGAAGUAACCAAAAGUGGAUCUGGAUUAGAAUGAUUCUCCAACUUCCCUUUCCAGCAUCUGUCUUACUAUGGGGCAAUUCAAACAGGAGGCAACCUCACAAACAGCCCUUUGUCAAAGUUAACAGCAUGUUUUUCUUGUGAGAAAUGCUUUUGCCUAAUGUGAGUUUUGAAAACUGUUGCUCAUCAAAAGUGGAAGUGUUUGACCUUCUUUGGAGUACACUUAAUGGUGGUAAUGUCACCACUUCCACAAAGUAAAGACAGAUGUUUGUAAUACGAGGUUGACACUGAAAAAAGUUUUUUAGGUUCACAUUAAUAUAUCAUUAAUAAAAGAUUAAUUUU
This 3336-nucleotide long non-coding RNA is filed under the name Sus scrofa (pig). RNAcentral's name for it is "lncRNA (ENSSSCG00000052626.1)". Lineage: Eukaryota; Metazoa; Chordata; Mammalia; Artiodactyla; Suidae. The record is from RNAcentral.